This 293-nucleotide ribosomal RNA is filed under the name uncultured prokaryote. RNAcentral describes it as "partial 16S ribosomal RNA". It matches the Rfam family "Archaeal small subunit ribosomal RNA", at positions 455 to 747 of the family's 1478-position model. The record is from RNAcentral.
GUGCCAGCAGCCGCGGUAAUAUCGGCAGCACAAGUGAUGGCCGAUAUUAUUGGGCCUAAAGCGUUCGUAGCCGGCCAGACAAGUCUGUUGGGAAAUCCACGCGCCCAACGCGUGGGCGUCCAGCGGAAACUGUCUGGCUUGGGGCCGGAAGACUCGAGGGGUACGUCCGGGGUAGGAGUGAAAUCCCGUAAUCCUGGACGGACCACCGGUGGCGAAAGCGCCUCGAGAAGACGGACCCGACGGUGAGGAACGAAAGCCAGGGUCUCGAACCGGAUUAGAAACCCCAGUAGUCC